Chenopodium quinoa (quinoa) is the source of this 1456-nucleotide RNA transcript. RefSeq lists it as uncharacterized. The transcript is spliced from 6 exons. NCBI's taxonomy places the organism in Eukaryota, Viridiplantae, Streptophyta, Magnoliopsida, Caryophyllales, Amaranthaceae. The record is from RefSeq and is a predicted model, not a curated record.
GUCAUGGCUUUUAAAGGCCUCCAUUCCUAUUUCCUACCUCUCUGAGUUAUUUCAUUGAACUGCACUCAACGUUCUCCAUUGAAGCGUUCUCCGUUGAAUCUAAUUCUUGUAUCCCCCAUUGAAGCAGCUUCUAAGCUUACAGAAAGAGAAAGCAGCGAUGUCACCAGCUAUGGCGGUGUCCUGCUCCUCACCCCUCCUCCACCCAUAUUUAAAUCAGCAAGGUAUUUCACAUCGAUCAAGUGGGUGCCAGCCUUUCUUUCGACCAGAUUCUGUAAACGGAAAAGGCAGCUUUAUAGCUUAUAAAGCAGGUCUUGUAGUUCAGAAUACAAAGUCAAGCUUCUCAUGCUCUGUAGGCAUGGCAGAUGGACAUUCCUCUGAUAAUCAGGGGAAAUUAAACUUGGACCGGAUGAUGGACAAGACCAGAGAAGUUUGGAAUGGCCUUCCCAAACCAAUCAAGAACUUCCCUUGGAACAGAGUGCUAGAUAGUUUUAUUCAACUUAUUCUGGAUGUUGCAAUUGCUGUUGUCAAAUACUUAAGUGCUCCUAUGCUGGCUGUUUCCUCCCUCAGUGAGAUGUCCUACUGUGCACAUGAAAGGAAACUGUUUCUUGUUCCUAUUCCAUUGGUUCUUGGGUUUGCUGUUGCUGGGAUCUUGAAAGAGACAGCACAAGAACUAUCUCCUCUUACCAAGAAUGCUGACGUUCCUUGGCAUAUGAUUGCAAUUGCUAUUCUUCUUGUUCUUCUUAAGUUGCCUGGGCCAUACUACCCAUACUGGGGCCGAAUGUUUAUCCCUCAUUUUGCAAAUGGAGGACUUUUAAGGGUUUUUCUAAUGAUGUAUUUCUGGUACCAAAAGCCCAAGAAGAGCCAAUUGUUGCAAGAUGCAGAGAGUUCAGAUCAGAAUUGAGUAUAUUUUAUUAUAGGAGGAGGGGCCCUGGAGAUGCAUUAGGAGGUGGAGGGAGGAGCCGACUUUGAAACUAAUGCGGGGGAUGGAGGUGUUUCUUAUUUAUAAGGGCAUAUAAUGGGAUCAGCCUAGAUUACCUCGAUGUCAGAACUGUAAUAAUCCAGCUUAAGAGCGGAUGAUAGUGACAGAACAAACUUCUCUACAACUGACUGGACUUUGAACUAGCUGCAACGUAAUCAACGGACUGUUAUGAGAUCAUGAUCAUGCUGUUUUAGAGUACAGCGUGAUGGAUAGUAAAUCCUUCCUCCACAUUUCAUCCAGGUUACCUUUGUUAGAUAUUUUUGUGUUUACUUAGAUUAAUGGUGGCAUUUUUGUUCACGAAACACUAGAAUUUGAGAUGCAAGGCAUCCAGGCAUGCAAGCGUUUCUAGAAUUGAGCCUUUUUUUUGGGGGGGUUUUAUUCAAUUUCAACCUCACUUAAAUUCUUCUCUGUACAUCAUCCAUGGUUUUUCUUAUGCAAUAUCUUUAAGGAAGAGCUACCCUCUUCCUUUUUUUGCUA